Gallus gallus (chicken) is the source of this 877-nucleotide long non-coding RNA. RefSeq lists it as uncharacterized. The record is from RefSeq and is a predicted model, not a curated record. The transcript is spliced from 5 exons. NCBI's taxonomy places the organism in Eukaryota, Metazoa, Chordata, Aves, Galliformes, Phasianidae.
AAGUUUUUGGAGGACUUAAUCAUGAGUGGAGCUGCUGCUGAAGCUCCACUUCAAACAAGCAAGCUGGUGAGGACGUUGUGCAUCUCAGCCUUUCCUCAGUGCAAGGCUGGGCAGACACGGGAAGCACUGCCUGCAGCAGCACCAGCUGAGCUCUGUGUGCCAGAGGAAGGAAUGCGGCGUCUGGAGGAGCAGGAGGAGGAGACCCUGCGUGACUCUGCGGGGCCGUUCCUCACAGCCUGCCACUGACAGACGUUGUGGGGCACUGCAGAGCCCGUUGGUGCGGAGGAGGUUUGUUCUGGAGGUCCUGAUGACGGCACAGGCAUGAAGCAGCCCAGAGCUCGUCGGUGCGGAGAGACUGCGUAUUGCGUUGUGAAGGGAGAGACGGAGGAGGGGUUUGAACAGCGUUGCGCAGGAAUGAAAGAAGCUGGUAAGAGAAGAGGCUGCGGCACUUCAAAGUGUGCUGUGGAUGGGCAGCGCGUUGACAACCCAAGGGUGGCACCAGGAGAUGCAGCGCAGCCCUCUCCAGCAGCAGGGUGCAUUUAUUCGUCUUGCUAAUUCUUGAAGUAGAAGGCAGGAGACGGGCAGCGGUACUGCAGCUCGUCUGCGACUUUGAAGCUAAGUUGGGAAGUGGAAGAUGUGGAUGUGAAAGAAGAACUCAGUUACUGGGACGCUCCCUUCUCUUCCCCUAGCUGUCCCCUUGCCUCAGCCCGGGUUCCCCUUGCAUUCCUGUAGGUUUCCCUUCCAUCCCCCUGGCUGCCCUGUGCUUUCCCCAAGGUUGCCCUUUCCUUUCCCAUGACAGCCCACCCACAAUUCCCUCAGCGCCCCAAUAGCCCCCUCAGUAUUUCCUAUCCAAGAACCUGUAGCUACCCCACGACCC